AGAAUGAACGUUGGCGGCGUGGAUUAGGCAUGCAAGUCGUACGGGCCGCAAGGCCAGUGGCGCAAGGGUGAGUAAGGCGACGGUAACCAACCCCAUGACUGGGUAUAGCCGCGGGAAACUGCGGGUAAUCCCCAGCGACGUCCCGGGGGGGCAUCCCCUGGGGACCAAAGCUCCGGCGUCGUGGGACGGGCCGUCGUGGUAUUAGGUUGUUGGCGGGGUAAUGGCCCACCAAGCCUGCGAUGCCUACCGGGCGUGCGAGCGUGGCCCGGCACACUGGGACUGAGACACUGCCCAGACUCCUACGGGAGGCUGCAGUCGAGAAUCUUCGGCAAUGGGCGCAAGCCUGACCGAGCGACGCCGCGUGGAGGAUGGAAGGCCUUCGGGUUGUAAACUCCUGUCGGAGGGGGAAGAAGGGUCGAAAGACCUUGACUUAUCCCUGGAGGAAGCACGGGCUAAGUUCGUGCCAGCAGCCGC
This 474-nucleotide ribosomal RNA is filed under the name uncultured bacterium. RNAcentral describes it as "SSU rRNA". It matches the Rfam family "Bacterial small subunit ribosomal RNA", at positions 26 to 518 of the family's 1533-position model. The record is from RNAcentral.